GCCGAAGUGGCGGAAUUGGUAGACGCGCAUGAUUCAGGGUCAUGUGGCCGCGAGGCUGUGUGGGUUCAAGUCCCACCUUCGGCACCA
This 87-nucleotide transfer RNA is filed under the name Trueperaceae bacterium. RNAcentral's name for it is "tRNA-Leu". It matches the Rfam family "tRNA". Rfam says of the family: Transfer RNA (tRNA) molecules are approximately 80 nucleotides in length. Their secondary structure includes four short double-helical elements and three loops (D, anti-codon, and T loops). The record is from RNAcentral. RNAcentral also lists the same sequence under 1 other name. Lineage: Bacteria; Thermotogati; Deinococcota; Deinococci; Trueperales; Trueperaceae.